This 518-nucleotide ribosomal RNA is filed under the name uncultured bacterium. RNAcentral describes it as "bacterial SSU rRNA". It matches the Rfam family "Bacterial small subunit ribosomal RNA", at positions 1002 to 1523 of the family's 1533-position model. The record is from RNAcentral.
AGAGAUACAUUAGGUGCCCUUCGGGGAGAGUCGAGACAGGUGGUGCAUGGUUGUCGUCAGCUCGUGUCGUGAGAUGUUGGGUUAAGUCCCGCAACGAGCGCAACCCUUAUUGUUAGUUGCUACGCAAGAGCACUCUAGCAAGACUGCCGUUGACAAAACGGAGGAAGGUGGGGAUGACGUCAAAUCAUCAUGCCCUUUAUGACCUGGGCUACACACGUACUACAAUGGCGGCGAACAGAGGGGAGCAAAGAGGUGACUCAGAGCAAAUCCCAAAAAGCCGUCUCAGUUCAGAUUGCAGGCUGCAACUCGCCUGCAUGAAGACGGAAUUGCUAGUAAUCGCGAAUCAGCAUGUCGCGGUGAAUACGUUCCCGGGCCUUGUACACACCGCCCGUCAAACCAUGAGAGUUGGGAAUACCCGAAGUCUGUAAUCUAACCGCAAGGAGGAUGCAGCCGAAGGUAGGCUCAAUGAUUGGGGUUAAGUCGUAACAAGGUAGCCGUAUCGGAAGGUGCGGUUGGAU